CGAGACGAUAUAAAAGUAUACCGAGGCAUCGUUCGAUUGUUUUUAUUCGGCAUCUUAACGAAAGUUAAAUAUUUUUGUUUGCCGAUCGAUAUUACGGGUGUAACGAAGGUUUUAGUUUUAUUGAUAUCACGUUGAUUUAACAAAACACGUUUUUUUUCAAAACGAUAUUAUCCCGGGUGCAAAAGAAAAUAAACACGACCGAUAGUCAUUACCUAUUCAGUUUAAUGAGUCCCGCUCGGAAUCGGUUUUUGACCGUAACGAUGUAUCU
This is a non-coding RNA of Cinara cedri, 268 nucleotides long. The record is from the annotation of a GenBank genome assembly. Lineage: Eukaryota; Metazoa; Arthropoda; Insecta; Hemiptera; Aphididae.